AUCCUUCGAUUCAUGAGUGUGAUGAUUGGGUGUUCAUGCCUUAAGCACGAGAUGUGUCUCCCUCAAACCUUGUUACGACGUGGGCACAUUACCCAUCUGACA
Small nucleolar RNA from Octodon degus (degu), 102 nucleotides. RefSeq annotates it as small nucleolar RNA U13. The record is from RefSeq and is a predicted model, not a curated record. Lineage: Eukaryota; Metazoa; Chordata; Mammalia; Rodentia; Octodontidae. The transcript has a single exon.